CCCUUAGAUGUUCUGGGCCGCACGCGCGCUACACUGAUGCAUUCAACGAGUUUCUUCCUGGUCCGAGAGGAUGGGUAACCUUUUGAAAGUGCAUCGUGAUAGGGAUAGACUAUUGCAAUUAUUGGUCUUCAACGAGGAAUUCCUAGUAGACGUAGUUCAUCAGACUGCAUCGAUUACGUCCCUGCCCUUUGUACACACCGCCCGUCGCUCCUACCGAUUGAAUGCUCAGGUGAGCCAUUCGGACUUUCAUCAUGCUGGUUUCCAGUUUUGAUGAAGGAAAGUCUUGCGAACCUUAUCAUUUAGAGGAAGGAGAAGUCGUAACA
Molecule: ribosomal RNA, 323 nt
Filed under: uncultured eukaryote
Lineage: Eukaryota
Description: partial 18S ribosomal RNA
Rfam family: Eukaryotic small subunit ribosomal RNA
Source: RNAcentral